Molecule: ribosomal RNA, 376 nt
Filed under: uncultured bacterium
Lineage: Bacteria
Description: bacterial SSU rRNA
Rfam family: Bacterial small subunit ribosomal RNA
Source: RNAcentral
UAAUACAGAGGGUGCAAGCGUUAAUCGGAAUCACUGGGCGUAAAGGGUGCGUAGGUGGUUGAAUAAGUCAGAUGUGAAAUCCCUGGGCUUAACCUAGGAAUUGCAUUUGGUACUGUUCAGCUAGAGUGCAGUAGAGGAAAGUGGAAUUUCCGGUGUAGCGGUGAAAUGCGUAGAUAUCGGAAGGAACAUCAGUGGCGAAGGCGACUUUCUGGACUGUAACUGACACUGAGGCACGAAAGCGUGGGGAGCGAACAGGAUUAGAUACCCUGGUAGUCCACGCCGUAAACUAUGAGAACUGGAUGUUUGGGGGCUUGUCUCCUAAGUAUCGAAGCUAACGCGUUAAGUUCUCCGCCUGGGGAGUACGGCCGCAAGGUUA